AGUGAACGCUGGCGGUAGGCCUAACACAUGCAAGUCGAACGGCAGCACAGUAAGAGCUUGCUCUUACGGGUGGCGAGUGGCGGACGGGUGAGGAAUACAUCGGAAUCUACUUUUUCGUGGGGGAUAACGUAGGGAAACUUACGCUAAUACCGCAUACGACCUACGGGUGAAAGCAGGGGAUCUUCGGACCUUGCGCGAUUGAAUGAGCCGAUGUCGGAUUAGCUAGUUGGCGGGGUAAAGGCCCACCAAGGCGACGAUCCGUAGCUGGUCUGAGAGGAUGAUCAGCCACUCUGGAACUGAGACACGGUCCAGACUCCUACGGGAGGCAGCAGUGGGGAAUAUUGGACAAUGGGCGCAAGCCUGAUCCAGCCAUACCGCGUGGGUGAAGAAGGCCUUCGGGUUGUAAAGCCCUUUUGUUGGGAAAGAAAAGCAGCAGGUUAAUACCCCGCUGUUCUGACGGUACCCAAAGAAUAAGCACCGGCUAACUUCGUG
This 492-nucleotide ribosomal RNA is filed under the name uncultured bacterium. Its description in RNAcentral is "partial 16S ribosomal RNA". It matches the Rfam family "Bacterial small subunit ribosomal RNA", at positions 29 to 507 of the family's 1533-position model. The record is from RNAcentral.